RNAcentral lists this ribosomal RNA (374 nucleotides) under uncultured organism. RNAcentral's name for it is "partial 16S ribosomal RNA". It matches the Rfam family "Bacterial small subunit ribosomal RNA", at positions 527 to 896 of the family's 1533-position model. The record is from RNAcentral.
GUAGGUGGCAAGCGUUGUCCGGAAUUAUUGGGGCGUAAAGCGCGCGCAGGCGGUUCUUUAAGUCUGAUGUGAAAGCCCACGGGCUCAACCGUGGAGGGUCAUUGGAAACUGGAGAACUUGAGUACAGAAGAGGAAAGCGGAAUUCCACGUGUAGCGGUGAAAUGCGUAGAGAUGUGGAGGAACACCAGUGGCGAAGGCGGCUUUCUGGUCUGCAACUGACGCUGAGGCGCGAAAGCGUGGGGAGCAAACAGGAUUAGAUACCCUGGUAGUCCACGCCGUAAACGAUGAGUGCUAAGUGUUAGGGGGUUUCCGCCCCUUAGUGCUGCAGCUAACGCAUUAAGCACUCCGCCUGGGGAGUACGGCCGCAAAGGCUG